GUAAAUUAUCCAUAUGUAGAUUAGAUACCAUGUAGAUACGAGUAUACAGCAUCUAUCCCAUGCAUACAUUUCUUUUUCCUGGGUGUAAACUAUUAUGAACAUUCCUCUUGACCUAUUUUCUUCUUUCCAAGUAAAUUUAAUCAUUGACUAGAGCAGAGACUAACAAGCUGCGGAAGAUUGACGAGAUUGCAGGGUUGGUGUUCCAACUUUAGAAGACAAGGUGGCGGCUGUGGCUGUAGCAACGGUGGAAGCAGCGGCGGUGGU
Molecule: unclassified non-coding RNA, 264 nt
Filed under: Hevea brasiliensis (rubber tree)
Lineage: Eukaryota; Viridiplantae; Streptophyta; Magnoliopsida; Malpighiales; Euphorbiaceae
Source: RNAcentral